This is a small nucleolar RNA of Ylistrum balloti, 102 nucleotides long. Lineage: Eukaryota; Metazoa; Mollusca; Bivalvia; Pectinida; Pectinidae. The record is from RefSeq and is a predicted model, not a curated record.
UUCCAGUGAUGACCUGUCAUGCUAAUACAGAGGGUCCAUUGUGACACUGGAUGUGCUGGUGACACCGGGCCGCAAUGAGUUGACAAACAAAUACUGAGGAAC